This 76-nucleotide transfer RNA is filed under the name Hyphomicrobiales bacterium. Its description in RNAcentral is "tRNA-Arg". It matches the Rfam family "tRNA". From Rfam's summary of the family: Transfer RNA (tRNA) molecules are approximately 80 nucleotides in length. Their secondary structure includes four short double-helical elements and three loops (D, anti-codon, and T loops). The record is from RNAcentral. Lineage: Bacteria; Pseudomonadati; Pseudomonadota; Alphaproteobacteria; Hyphomicrobiales.
GGUCUCGUAGCUCAACGGAUAGAGCACUUGGCUUCGAACCAAGGGGUUGCGGGUUCAAGUCCUGCCGAGACCGCCA